Molecule: ribosomal RNA, 372 nt
Filed under: uncultured bacterium
Lineage: Bacteria
Description: bacterial SSU rRNA
Rfam family: Bacterial small subunit ribosomal RNA
Source: RNAcentral
UACGUAGGGGGCAAGCGUUAUCCGGAAUUACUGGGUGUAAAGGGAGAGUAGGCGGCAUGGUAAGUUAGAUGUGAAAGCCCGAGGCUUAACCUCGGGAUUGCAUUUAAAACUAUCAAGCUAGAGUACAGGAGAGGUAAGUGGAAUUCCUAGUGUAGCGGUGAAAUGCGUAGAUAUUAGGAAGAACACCAGUGGCGAAGGCGACUUACUGGACUGAAACUGACGCUGAGGCUCGAAAGCGUGGGGAGCGAACAGGAUUAGAUACCCUGGUAGUCCACGCCGUAAACGAUGAGUGCUAGGUGUCGGGGGGGAACCCUCGGUGCCGCAGCUAACGCAAUAAGCACUCCACCCGGGGAGUACGAUCGCAAGAUUGAA